RNAcentral lists this ribosomal RNA (465 nucleotides) under Vreelandella stevensii. RNAcentral describes it as "partial 16S ribosomal RNA". It matches the Rfam family "Bacterial small subunit ribosomal RNA", at positions 338 to 795 of the family's 1533-position model. Lineage: Bacteria; Pseudomonadati; Pseudomonadota; Gammaproteobacteria; Oceanospirillales; Halomonadaceae. The record is from RNAcentral.
CCUACGGGCGGCUGCAGUGGGGAAUAUUGGACAAUGGGCGAAAGCCUGAUCCAGCCAUGCCGCGUGUGUGAAGAAGGCCUUCGGGUUGUAAAGCACUUUCAGUGGGGAAGAAAGCCUUGGGGCUAAUACCCUCGAGGAAGGACAUCACCCACAGAAGAAGCACCGGCUAACUCCGUGCCAGCAGCCGCGGUAAUACGGAGGGUGCGAGCGUUAAUCGGAAUUACUGGGCGUAAAGCGCGCGUAGGCGGUCUGAUAAGCCGGUUGUGAAAGCCCCGGGCUCAACCUGGGAACGGCAUCCGGAACUGUCAGGCUAGAGUGCAGGAGAGGAAGGUAGAAUUCCCGGUGUAGCGGUGAAAUGCGUAGAGAUCGGGAGGAAUACCAGUGGCGAAGGCGGCCUUCUGGACUGACACUGACGCUGAGGUGCGAAAGCGUGGGUAGCAAACAGGAUUAGAUCCCCUGGUAGUC